AAUGAACGUUGGCGGCGUGGAUUAGGCAUGCAAGUCGAGCGAGAACCCGCAAGGGGGACAGCGGCGAACGGGGUAGGACAACGUAGGUAACGUACCCUCGGGGCGAGGACAGCCACGGGAAACUGUGGGUAAUACUCGAUAAACUUCCCAAUCAUUAUGGAAGGGGAAGCAAUGGGUGUGAUUCCACCUGAGGAGCGGCUUACGCAGUAUCAGCUAGUUGGUGAGGUAACGGCUCACCAAGGCUACGACGCUUAGGGGGUGUGAGAGCAUGGCCCCCACCACUGGCACUGAGACACUGGCCAGACACCUACGGGUGGCUGCAGUCGAGAAUCUUCGGCAAUGGACGCAAGUCUGACCGAGCGACGCCGCGUGCGGGAUGAAGGCCUCGGUGUAACGACUGUCAGAGGGAGUGAAGUAUACGGAGUAUCUCCUCGUAUUUGUACAGAGCCGUCAGAGGAAGGACA
This 464-nucleotide ribosomal RNA is filed under the name uncultured bacterium. RNAcentral describes it as "bacterial SSU rRNA". It matches the Rfam family "Bacterial small subunit ribosomal RNA", at positions 29 to 494 of the family's 1533-position model. The record is from RNAcentral.